UACAGAGGUCCCAAGCGUUGUUCGGAAUCACUGGGCGUAAAGGGCGCGUAGGCGGCGCGGAUAGUCGGCGGUGAAAGCCCGGAGCUCAACUCCGGGUCGGCCGUCGAUACUUCCGGGCUUGAGCACUGUAGAGGCAGAUGGAAUUCCGGGUGUAGCGGUGGAAUGCGUAGAGAUCCGGAAGAACACCGGUGGCGAAGGCGGUCUGCUGGGCAGUUGCUGACGCUGAUGCGCGACAGCGUGGGGAGCAAACAGG
Molecule: ribosomal RNA, 253 nt
Filed under: uncultured bacterium
Lineage: Bacteria
Description: partial 16S ribosomal RNA
Rfam family: Bacterial small subunit ribosomal RNA
Source: RNAcentral